UAACCUGCCCAAGAGAUCGGGAUAACACCUGGAAACAGAUGCUAAUACCGGAUAANAACAGAUGAUGCCUAUCAACUGUUUAAAAGAUGGUUCUGCUAUCACUCUUGGAUGGACCUGCGGUGCAUUAGCUAGUUGGUAGGGUAACGGCCUACCAAGGCGAUGAUGCAUAGCCGAGUUGAGAGACUGAUCGGCCACAUUGGGACUGAGACACGGCCCAAACUCCUACGGGAGGCAGCAGC
Molecule: ribosomal RNA, 239 nt
Filed under: uncultured Lactobacillus sp.
Lineage: Bacteria; Bacillati; Bacillota; Bacilli; Lactobacillales; Lactobacillaceae
Description: partial 16S ribosomal RNA
Rfam family: Bacterial small subunit ribosomal RNA
Source: RNAcentral